Molecule: non-coding RNA, 68 nt
Organism: Podarcis lilfordi (Lilford's wall lizard)
Lineage: Eukaryota; Metazoa; Chordata; Lepidosauria; Squamata; Lacertidae
Source: the annotation of a GenBank genome assembly
GGUAGCUCAGUUGGUAGAGCAUGAGACUCUUAAUCUCAGGAUUAUAGGUUGAAGUCCCAUGUGGGGCA